GGUAAUUUUCCGCAAUGGGCGAAAGCCUGACGGAGCAAGACCGCGUGGGGGAAGAAGGCUCUUGGGUUGUAAACCCCUUUUCUCUGGGAAGAAAGUUGUGAAAGCAACCUGACGGUACCAGAGGAAUCAGCAUCGGCUAACUCCGUGCCAGCAGCCGCGGUAAGACGGAGGAUGCAAGCGUUAUCCGGAAUGAUUGGGCGUAAAGCGUCCGCAGGUGGCAGUUCAAGUCUGCUGUCAAAGACCGGGGCUUAACCUCGGAAAGGCAGUGGAAACUGAACAGCUAGAGUAUGGUAGGGGCAAAGGGAAUUCCUGGUGUAGCGGUGAAAUGCGUAGAGAUCAGGAAGAACAUCGGUGGCGAAGGCGCUUUGCUGGACCAUAACUGACACUCAGGGACGAAAGCUAGGGGAGCGAAUGGGAUUAGAUACCCCAGUAGUCCUAGCCGUAAACGAUGGAUACUAGGUGUUGUCUGUAUCGACCCGGACAGUGCCGUAGCUAACGCG
This 500-nucleotide ribosomal RNA is filed under the name uncultured cyanobacterium. RNAcentral describes it as "bacterial SSU rRNA". It matches the Rfam family "Bacterial small subunit ribosomal RNA", at positions 357 to 859 of the family's 1533-position model. Lineage: Bacteria; Bacillati; Cyanobacteriota. The record is from RNAcentral.